GGCAGAUUAGUUACCUUGUUUUAACCGGACGUUGGGUUACCGGAGUGUGAGGUUUAUCUGCAACUGAAGCUAAGCAGGGCUGCGCCCGGUCAGUCCAUGGAUGGGAGACCACAUGGGAAAGCUAGGUUGCUGCCG
RNAcentral lists this ribosomal RNA (135 nucleotides) under Danio rerio (zebrafish). Lineage: Eukaryota; Metazoa; Chordata; Actinopteri; Cypriniformes; Danionidae. The record is from RNAcentral.